This 463-nucleotide ribosomal RNA is filed under the name uncultured bacterium. Its description in RNAcentral is "bacterial SSU rRNA". It matches the Rfam family "Bacterial small subunit ribosomal RNA", at positions 64 to 507 of the family's 1533-position model. The record is from RNAcentral.
GAGCGAGAAAGGGGCAACCCCGAGUAAAGCGGCGCACGGGUGAGUAACACGUAGGUAAUUUACCCCCAGGUGGUGGAUAACCUUCCGAAAGGAGGGCUAAUACAGCGUAAGACCACGACUCCGCGAGGAGAUGAGGUCAAAGCCGGCCUCUUCAUGAAAGCUGGCGCCAGGGGAUGAGCCUGCGGCCCAUCACGGUAGUUGGUAGGGUAAUGGCCUACCAAGCCUAAGACGGGUAGCUGGUCUGAGAGGAUGAUCAGCCACACUGGAACUGAGACACGGUCCAGACUCCUACGGGAGGCAGCAGUGGGGAAUCUUGCGCAAUGGGCGAAAGCCUGACGCAGCGACGCCGCGUGAGUGAUGAAGGCCUUCGGGUUGUAAAGCUCUGUGGGGAGGGACGAAUAAGUGCUGGCUAACAUCCAGCGCGAUGACGGUACCUCUUUAGCAAGCACCGGCUAACUCUGUG